Molecule: non-coding RNA, 72 nt
Organism: Pyronema omphalodes CBS 100304
Lineage: Eukaryota; Fungi; Ascomycota; Pezizomycetes; Pezizales; Pyronemataceae
Source: Rfam
GGUUGUAUAGUGUAAUGGUUAGCACAUCAGAUUCUGAUUCUGGUAAUCUCGGUUCGAUUCCGGGUACGACCU